Vespa crabro (European hornet) is the source of this 1102-nucleotide long non-coding RNA. RefSeq lists it as uncharacterized. NCBI's taxonomy places the organism in Eukaryota, Metazoa, Arthropoda, Insecta, Hymenoptera, Vespidae. The transcript is spliced from 2 exons. The record is from RefSeq and is a predicted model, not a curated record.
ACUAAGUAGGUACUAAGUAGGUACUAAGUAAGUAAUAAGUCUGUAUAUUGUAUUUUAUGAUGCUGGCAUUUAAGUAAUAAGUUCGUAUUCUGAAAUCUAUAAAGUCAAUAACCAAGUAAUAAUUCGGUAUUGUGCAUUUUGUAAAAUCAAUAAUUAACUAAUAAUACGUAUUCGGUAUUUCAUAAGAUCAAUAACAAACUUGUAAUUUGAUCAAGAACCUAAUAAAAUUUAUAAGACUUUAUCCAAAAAUCAGUGAUUAUUCAAUUAGUAAAGCGGCCUUUUCUCAAAAUACUUUUUUCAAAGCCAAUGGAUAUAUCUAAAAAAGCGCUAAAUGAAUCGUUUUCAAAUUUACACAAAAUCCUACUUUUUUUUAAAUCGAUCUCAAUUUUUUAAUAAUUAUGUAGAAAUGAUGAUUUUUCUUAUAAAUUUUCCAUGUUCGAGUUUCAAUUCGUCAUCAUUUUGUAAAAAAUAAUCGAUUUUAAAAGUCUAACGUGACCAACGACUCGUUUUCGGUGUUACCUUGAACUGUUUCAUUUGUUGAUUCCAAAUUCAUCGUUUAGCUGAAGAAUGUCCAUCUCCAAAUAUCUUCAAACAAAAAUUCAUUGUUUGGUGGCAGACAUAUUUUUAUUAUUUUUUUAUAUUUUUGGAUAAUCUUUUAGAAAGCUCUCAAUAAAUAAAAAAAAAUACGUCUCAUUUCUACCAAUCGUUUCUGAGAAAAAAAUUUCGAAUUUCGAAAAUUUCUCAAGCUUCUAAAUGAAUCGUGAUUCCUUCAAGACGUGUCCAUUUAAGAGUAAAAUUGUCAGGAAUUGGUGUUCACUGGAAAACAGGGUUAAUCAUUCCUAUACAUAAAUCGAGGAAAAAGUCGACAACCAGGAAAAUAUAAACCAGUAAGUCUAAUCAUGAAUAAAAUAAUGGAAAAAAUUAUUUUAUUUUAGAAAGACUCAAUAGGCAUGAAACAUUGCAGAUCAUCGAUUUGAUUUCAGAGAGAAACACAACACAGUCCAACAAACGAGAAAAGUUAACACAUAUUAGCACAACAGAUAUUAGUGUAAAUUUUAACAAAGGAAAUAAAACUGUACUAAUAUUAUUUGAUAUCAAAAAA